UGGGGAAUAUUGCGCAAUGGGGGGAACCCUGACGCAGCCAUGCCGCGUGAAUGAAGAAGGCCUUCGGGUUGUAAAGUUCUUUCGGUAUUGAGGAAGGUUGAUGUGUUAAUAGCACAUCAAAUUGACGUUAAAUACAGAAGAAGCACCGGCUAACUCCGUGCCAGCAGCCGCGGUAAUACGGAGGGCGCGAGCGUUAAUCGGAAUAACUGGGCGUAAAGGGCACGCAGGCGGUUAUUUAAGUGAGGUGUGAAAGCCCUGGGCUUAACCUAGGAAUUGCAUUUCGGACUGGGUAACUAGAGUACUUUAGGGAGGGGUAGAAUUCCACGUGUAGCGGUGAAAUGCGUAGAGAUGUGGGGGAAUACCGAAGGCGAAGGCAGCCCCUUGGGAAUGUACUGACGCUCAUGUGCGAAAGCGUGGGGAGCAAACAGGAUUAGAUACCCUGGUAGUCCACGCUGUAAACGCUGUCGAUUUGGGGAUUGGGCUUAGAGCUUGGUGCCCGUAGCUAACGUGAUAAAUCGACCGCCUGGGGAGUACGGCCGCAAGGUUA
Molecule: ribosomal RNA, 547 nt
Filed under: uncultured bacterium
Lineage: Bacteria
Description: bacterial SSU rRNA
Rfam family: Bacterial small subunit ribosomal RNA
Source: RNAcentral